Molecule: ribosomal RNA, 403 nt
Filed under: uncultured bacterium
Lineage: Bacteria
Description: bacterial SSU rRNA
Rfam family: Bacterial small subunit ribosomal RNA
Source: RNAcentral
UUGGGAAUCUUGCACAAUGGACGAAAGUCUGAUGCAGCGACACCGCGUGGAGGAUGACGGCCUUCGGGUUGUAAACUCCUUUUACGAGGGAGUAAAUUAUUGAAAGUACCUCGUGAAUAAGCACCGGCUAACCCCGUGCCAGCAGCCGCGGUAAUACGGGGGGUGCUAACGUUAUCCGGAAUUACUGGGCGUAAAGCGUAUGUAGGUGGUUUUGUGCGUCGACGAUGAAAGACUAUCGCUCAACGAUAGGAACGUUUUCGAUACGGCAAAACUGGAGAGAAGCAGGGGUGCACGGAACUUUCGGUGUAGGAGUGAAAUCCGUAGAUAUCGAAAGGAACACCAAUGGCGAAGGCAGUGCACUGGGCUUUUUCUGACACUGAGAUACGAAAGCGUGGGGAGCAAA